ACUCGCUACUCAACCGCGUCUCCGUAAUAUUUUCCCGCCGUCAACGAAAGCAGAAGCGAAUUGAAAUCCUUCCGCGAAACCAGCAGCGCUCCCGAAACGGGCUACGGGAAGGAAGUGGGCAAUUUCGGUGUGAUGGAUUUAUUCCUUCCUUUCGCGCCGCUCCACACCGUUGGCAUAUCUUUCGCGCCCAAGCUGAGGACUCUCUCUCUCUCUCUCCCUCCGCGAGGACUUUAAAGUUCAACCCUCCGCGCAACAAUCAAAACCGGGCGGCAAAGCGCAGUUACUGUUUUCUUUUAUUAAAUAAAGCCUAAACUUUAGGCACACA
Long non-coding RNA from Anopheles arabiensis, 325 nucleotides. RefSeq lists it as uncharacterized. Lineage: Eukaryota; Metazoa; Arthropoda; Insecta; Diptera; Culicidae. The transcript has 2 exons. The record is from RefSeq and is a predicted model, not a curated record.